AAGUCGUAACAAGGUUUCCGUAGGUGAACCUGCGGAAGGAUCAUUAAAGAACGCCCCGUUUUUUCACAAACUGGGUUCAAUACCCCUACAGCUGUAUACCUUACCUUUGUUGCUUUGGCGGGUCCGCCUUGAGGCGUCGGCUCCGGCUAACUGCGCCCGCCAGAGGACCCAAAUCUCGUUUCGCUUAGUGAUGUCUGAGUACUAUAAAAUAUUUAAAAG
Molecule: unclassified non-coding RNA, 219 nt
Filed under: plant metagenome
Description: partial contains small subunit ribosomal RNA and internal transcribed spacer 1
Rfam family: Eukaryotic small subunit ribosomal RNA (bases 1-46)
Source: RNAcentral